RNAcentral lists this transfer RNA (75 nucleotides) under Candidatus Sumerlaeota bacterium. Its description in RNAcentral is "tRNA-Val". It matches the Rfam family "tRNA". From Rfam's summary of the family: Transfer RNA (tRNA) molecules are approximately 80 nucleotides in length. Their secondary structure includes four short double-helical elements and three loops (D, anti-codon, and T loops). The record is from RNAcentral. Lineage: Bacteria; Candidatus Sumerlaeota.
GGGUGGGUAGCUCAGCGGGAGAGCAUCGCCCUUACAAGGCGGAGGUCGCAGGUUCAAUCCCUGUCCCACCCACCA